GAGUCAAAGAAUGUGCAUGUUGGCCAGGCUUU
This 32-nucleotide transfer RNA is filed under the name Symbiodinium sp. clade A. Its description in RNAcentral is "partial Selenocysteine transfer RNA". Lineage: Eukaryota; Dinophyceae; Suessiales; Symbiodiniaceae. The record is from RNAcentral.